UACGUAGGUGGCGAGCGUUGUCCGGAAUUACUGGGUGUAAAGGGCGUGUAGGCGGAAAUUUAAGUCAGAUGUGAAAUUCCCGGGCUCAACUCGGGCGCUGCAUUUGAAACUGAGUUUCUUGAGUGAUGGAGAGGAAAGCGGAAUUCCUAGUGUAGCGGUGAAAUGCGUAGAUAUUAGGAGGAACACCAGUGGCGAAGGCGGCUUUCUGGACAUUAACUGACGCUGAGGCGCGAAAGCGUGGGGAGCAAACAGGAUUAGAUACCCUGGUAGUCCACGCGGUAAACGAUGAUUACUAGGUGUGGGAGGUAUCGACCCCUUCCGUGCCGGAGUUAACACAAUAAGUAAUCCACCUGGGGAGUACGGCCGCAAGGUUGAA
RNAcentral lists this ribosomal RNA (376 nucleotides) under uncultured bacterium. RNAcentral describes it as "bacterial SSU rRNA". It matches the Rfam family "Bacterial small subunit ribosomal RNA", at positions 524 to 898 of the family's 1533-position model. The record is from RNAcentral.